AGCAGUGGGGAAUAUUGGACAAUGGGCGCAAGCCUGAUCCAGCAAUGCCGCGUGUGUGAAGAAGGUCUUCGGAUUGUAAAGCACUUUCGGCGGGGACGAUGAUGACGGUACCCGCAGAAGAAGCCCCGGCUAACUUCGUGCCAGCAGCCGCGGUAAUACGAAGGGGGCUAGCGUUGCUCGGAAUGACUGGGCGUAAAGGGCGCGUAGGCGGUUUGCCAAGUUAGAUGUGAAAUUCCCGGGCUCAACCUGGGGACUGCAUUUGAGACUGGCAGGCUUGAGUGUGGAAGAGGGUCGUGGAAUUCCCAGUGUAGAGGUGAAAUUCGUAGAUAUUGGGAAGAACACCGGUGGCGAAGGCGGCGACCUGGUCCAUAACUGACGCUGAGG
This 384-nucleotide ribosomal RNA is filed under the name uncultured bacterium. Its description in RNAcentral is "bacterial SSU rRNA". It matches the Rfam family "Bacterial small subunit ribosomal RNA", at positions 350 to 751 of the family's 1533-position model. The record is from RNAcentral.